RNAcentral lists this ribosomal RNA (1480 nucleotides) under uncultured soil bacterium. RNAcentral's name for it is "SSU rRNA". It matches the Rfam family "Bacterial small subunit ribosomal RNA". The record is from RNAcentral.
GAUGAACGCGUAGCGGCGUGCCUAAUGCAUGCAAGUCGGACGGCAGUCUUGAGCUUCAUCUUCGGAUGAAGCUGAAGGCGAGAGUGGCGCACGGGUGAGUAAGACGUAGGUGACCUACCCAGGAGAGGGGGACAACCACUGGAAACGGUGGCUAAUACCGCGGAUGUUGGUUUGGUUAGGACGGACCAACUGAAGGUGGGUUUGCUGGAGACAGCGACACAUGCUCCUGGAGGGGCCUGCGGGCCAUCAGCUAGUUGGUGGGGUAAGAGCCUACCAAGGCGAAGACGGCUAGGGGGCGUGAGAGCGCGACCCCCCACACUGGUACUGACACACGGACCAGAUACCUGCGGGUAGCAGCAGCAAGGAAUAUUGCGCAAUGGGGGCAACCCUGACGCAGCAACGCCGCGUGGAGGAAGACGUCUUUCGGGAUGUAAACUCCUUUUGUGGCGGAAGAAGGCGGCGGUCUAACGGUCGCUUAGCUUGACGGUACCCCAAGAAAAAGGCCCGGCUAACUACGUGCCAGCAGCCGCGGUAAAACGUAGGGGUCGAGCGUUAUCCGGAAUUACUGGGCGUAAAGCGCGUGCAGGCGGCGUGGCAAGUGGGACGUGAAAGCUCCUGGCUCAACUGGGAGAGGACGUUCGAGACUGCCAGGCUCGAGAACGGUAGAGGCGAGUGGAAUUCCCCGGUGUAGUGGUGAAAUGCGUAGAUAUCGGGAGGAACACCAGAGGCGAAGGCGGCUCGCUGGGCCGGUUCUGACGCUCAGACGCGAAAGCCAGGGGAGAGAACGGGAUUAGAAACCCCGGUAUUCCUGGCAGUAAACGAUGUCAACCAGGUGUAGGGGGUGUCAAAGCCUUCUGCGCUGCAGCUAACGCAGUAAGUUGACCGCCUGGGGAGUACGGCCGCAAGGCUAAAACUCAAAGGAAUUGACGGGGGCCCGCACAAGCAGCGGAGCGUGUGGUUUAAUUCGAGGCAACGCGAAGAACCUUACCAGGGUUUGACAUGGCGGUGGUAGGGGGCGGAAACGUCUCUGACCCUUCGGGGAGCCGUCACAGGUGCUGCAUGGCUGUCGUCAGCUCGUGCCGUGAGGUGUUAGGUUAAGUCCUGUAACGAGCGCAACCCACAUCGUUAGUUACAAGUGUCUAGCGAGACUGCCGGUGAUAAGCCGGAGGAAGGUGUGGAUGACGUCAAGUCAGCAUGGCCUUUAUAUCCUGGGCGACACACACGCUACAAUGGCCGGUACAAUGGGCAGCCAAGUCGCGAGACGGAGCCAAUCCCGCAAAGCCGGUCUCAGUUCGGAUUGCAGGCUGCAACUCGCCUGCAUGAAGUCGGAGUUGCUAGUAACCGCAGGUCAGCCACACUGCGGUGAAUACGUUCCCGGGCCUUGUACACACCGCCCGUCACGUCAUGGGAGUUGGCAACGCCUGAAGUCGGUGGGCUAACGGGCCUAUCUACGAUAGGCUUGGGGCAGCCGCCUAAGGCG